UUCGACCUCUUGAAAGCCCACAUCAUACUAGUUGGAUUCUAUAUAGCCUAAAUAUAUACAUAUCAUACCAACCGUACUCACGCCAUAACCACCUGAUAAUCUAGUAGAACCUGUAAUGAUGAACCUAAGAUCCAACCUCCAUUGAACCCGUGAACCUAAACACUAUAAAACUGGAUUCGAAUCAUCGAACAUAUACGGGGUAACCUAGUAGAACCUAUGAUGAUGAACCUAAGAUCCAAAUUCUAUUGAACCCGUUAACCUAAACACUAUAAAACUGGAUUCGAAUCAUCGAACAUACACGGGGUAUACUUAUACUCGGUACCUCUACUAUGUUUACCUAGCCUCAACCAUCUGAAGCUACUAAAACGAUUGGGAGGGGUUUUUACAAUACAUGUUCUAUUGAACCCGUGAACCUAAACAUAAAACUGGAUUCGAAUCAUCGAACAUACACGGGGUAUACUUAUACUCGGUACCUCUACUAUGUUUACCUAGCCUCAACCAUCUGAAGCUACUAAAACGAUUGGGAGAGGUUUUUACAAUACAUGUUCUAGUAGUACCAACACCUCCCUUUUGAUCCGUACUGAGUUGGGUUACACAUUCUUCUUUAUACUAAAACUGGUACGCUUACCUUUAUGUACAUGUACGGUGGAACGUUCUCCAAUAACUCACGUCCGUUGGGACACAACCACUUCCUGGGUAGGAACCGCGGCCCCUUUACUUCACUGUCCCCAGAAUUCUGACACUCCCGUUUUAACCCUGCUCACUGAGUCGAGUCCCAAGGAGAAACGUACAAGUUCACUUUUCCGCCUCCUACCGUCCCGCACGACGAGAACUAUCGCAAACGUAGCGAAGAAGUAUGGAGAGCACGUGAGAAGCAAAGGGCAGAUAAGCUGAACCGCAGGAAUGGUACAAACUCCCAAUACACAGUGCCUGAACCAAGGCGUAGGGUGCAAGGGAACGAUCCUCAGGGAUCGGAACCGCUGUCCAUCGCUGCACGUGAACCCGCGAACCACAGGAACCCAUUCAAGCCCCGGCCACGGGUUCGAACGUCGAUACCGCUGUUGAACGUACCCUCGUCUACUACAUCCUUGUUCCGUCGUGUGCUCAUUGAGCGUCGGUCCCUUUACUAUGGAUCGGCUUAUACGUCCGUCACCUCUCAUGUGCCCUCAACACCCAUCCCCACUUUUGCGACGGCCCUCGCAUGACGACGACGGCAAUCAAUCGGAAAUCUAGGUCUCAGUUCACCGCUCCCAUACUACUAUCCCCUAGCCCCUUCUAAGGAAGGAAACUUCUAACUUCGACCUCUUGAAAGCCCACAUCAUACUAGUUGGAUUCUAUAUAGCCUAAAUAUAUACAUAUCAUACCAACCGUACUCACGCCAUAACCACCUGAUAAUCUAGUAGAACCUGUAAUGAUGAACCUAAGAUCCAACUUCCAUUGAACCCGUGAACCUAAACACUAUAAAACUGGAUUCGAAUCAUCGAACAUAUACGGGGUAACCUAGUAGAACCUAUAAUGAUGAACCUAAGAUCCAACCUCCAUCGAACCCGUUAACCUAAACACUAUAAAACGGGAUUCGAAUCAUCGAACAUACACGGGUAUAUACCUAUACUCGUACCUCUACUAUGUUUACCUAGCCUCAACCAUCUGAAACUACUAAAACGAUCGGGACGGGUAUACAUAACCUGAAUCUAUUGAUACUAUGAUCCGAACCAACCUAAUAUUAAUACUAAAAACGAUCUAAGGAAACUUCUAACUUCGACCUCUUGAAAUCCAACAUCAUACUAGUUGAACUCUAUAUAGUCUAAAUAUAUCCAUAUAUACUAACCGUACUCACACCAUAACCACUCGAUAACCUAGUAGAACCUAUAGUGAUGAACCUAAGAUCCAACCUACAUUGAACCCGUGAACCUAAACACUAUAAAAAUGGAUUCGAAUCAUCGAACAUACACGGGGUAUACCUAUACUCAUACCUCUACUAUGUUUACCUAGCCUCAACCAUCUGAAACUACUAAAACGAUCGAGAGCACAUAACCUGAAUCUAUUGAUACUAUGAUCCGAACCAACCUAGUAGGUUUUGUAAUUGCAUGCGUAGUUCCGGGGAGCGAGCGCGCACGGUACACACUUCCUUCUCUGUUAGCUAAAUGACACGUCGGUCUAAAUAUAACACAUGUUUUUUGUUUCCACUAGGUGGUGCCAACGUCGCUCGUUCUCCCUUAGCGGAGCUCGGGGAGGGAAGAGUAGAGAGGGUGCGUUGGAGGUACCACCCGCCGAUCGACCCCAACGGCGGCGGCGGCGGGGGCGGGGUAGCCGGGUAGGAACAAGUAGGAUGUGGCCGGUGGCCUCUUCCCCGCAAGGAGUCUAGGAGAAGAGGGGUUUGGAAGAGCAGAAGCACAAGGUGGGCAGGAGGUACUACCGACAUCUGCCCCGCCCCUUCCCCUACAGUAGCUCCACGGCAAGCCACGGCAAGCCCGCCGCUCAACGUCUCCUCCCCGCGCCCGUUCUCCUACCGUAGCUCCCAAGAACACUUAGCACAACCAGCAAGACCCCGCAACCUCACCCGGUUUAUGGACUGCUGCCCAUUCUACCUCCACAACAGGCUUGUCACCAACGAGCCAACGCUGGUAUACCACUCCGAGUAAAAGAAGAAAAACACUAACUAACUAACAAGUGUUCUAUCCAAUCUAAAAACACCGUAUAGUGAUACGAAACAGACAACCACAUCUUGAAAAGGAUAACAUAAUAGUCGACACACUGCUCUCCUAUCUGGCUGGUUAGACUUCGACGAUGAGGGAACAUUCAAGGUACAUGACCCUAAAAUGAAGAACUCAAAAGAGAGAUUUACCAUCUUACUUUUCUCCGUUUUCAAUAUAUACCUAACUAAGGACUUCACGAAUCUAGUGUGUCCCGUCUGAAGUAUCACCCUCCACGAACUGAAGGUUAAGGUUCUUUGUUAAAAACUGAAGGUUAAGGUUCUUUGUUAAAAAUUGUACGAACUCCCUCGAAUUCCAAGGUAACUGAAAUCAAAGUAGUUUUAGAUAUUAAACAUCCUUCCAUAAACAACGGUUUUCUACAACCAGCAAGAUGGUAAUCUGACUGUUAGGGUAGAAAUUAAAAAUGACGUGAAAAUCCUUUGACGUUAAAUGUAGAAGAGAGAAAAAUAUAUUUGAACGAUUCUAAUAAAUAAAAAGAAACCAGAGAGUAGGAUGGCAUCGAUAGAUAGACAACGUAUUUUUUUUCCCGUUGGACCACGUACAUCGAGGGCGAACGCGUCCCAGGUCCCUUCCCAGGCUGGUGAAACCCAGAUAUCAUGCGUCGGAAAGGGAUGUAAAGACAUUCUCCGACAAAGGUCCUGAACUUGGGUACUGGAGUACCAGUGUUCCGUCGUCGAAAUGGUGACGCGGUUCCGAGGGGAAGUCGAUAGAUAGACAACGUAUACGUAAAUUUUAAUCCGUAAAUUUUAACCACUACAGGGAAAAUCAAACGAUGUAAGAAGCUGAUAAACAAUCCUUUGUGUGAUUAAAGUCUUCUUGAUACGACUAGAGUGGUAUAAAUAAACCACCACAAGCACACAAACUACAAUACUAGGAACAUAACUGUUCAACAAACGUGGUACCAGAAACUGAGACAAAGACUCUAGUCCACCGACCUGAUGAAACUGAGUAUCAACUCUAUUAACGUAAAGUUGCCGACUUUGAUAAAAACGUGAUAUGAAUAUAAAUUAAUUGGAGACUUGUUGGUAGAUUUUCUGACGUGUUUAGAAGGGCAAAUUGGUCAUUUUUUACCUGGAAAUACAAAACUUCAAACUUCUUGUAAAUGUCAAACCCUACUAGAAUGAGAAACAAGUCUCACUUAAAUGAUAAAGUUUAUAUAGGAUACUAAGCAACUAUUACACAUAACGUCUAAGUAGUACAUUAUUUUUUCUCGGAAACACUAUGUCUUGUACUAAAUUAAUAGAAAAUGUUGAGGGUAAACCUAAGCAAGUCACAGGUGUCGAGAUCUGUAGCUAGAGUAGAUGGAGUAGACAUACCAUUACCAAGUUGCCAAUUUACAGACAAGAACCAUCAAAAAACUCAUACAGAUGACUUCAACAUUCAAAAAACAUAAGAUUAAACCAACUCUAUGAAUUUGUCACUAAACAAUGAAGUGGACAGCUAUUUACAUCCCGAUUUCGUUAUUGACCCUUUAGUACUUAAGGUACAUGAACAGUAUCGGCUAAGAAACAACAAGUCAUCAAACAAAGUUCUCACGUCCAGCAAAAAGAUAUUCGACCUACUUAUCGAGGGAACAAGUCAUACAUGACUUAAAAUGAACGAUAAAAUAAUUAGGAUAAUUCGUUUCUACGGAAAAGACGUAACAGUGUGUAAUUACGAGGAUAAACUUCCUGGGUCCUCUUUUAAGUCGCAAACAUGAUGAUACAAAGGUAUCAUCAAUACGAGAAAGAGACUUUAUUCUUGUUAGUUUAUCUUUAUAUCACAACUAAGAAGAGGAAAACAUUGUUAAACAAGAAUCGAUAUUAUAAUUGUACUUAACAUAAACACUUCAACAGGGAUUCGUCUUGUUCAACCGUACCUCGUCAGACAAGAUUUUCAUUACAUAGGUAUACAAUGACGGUUAGUCCACAAAGGAAAGAAAGAAAUGGACUUCGAGAUAUACUUAACAAGAGACUCACGUUCACCAGGUACACCUAAAAAUUGUAUAGUACGAUACAUGCUCACUACCAAGAGAUAAAGGUCUAAUCUAUACUACCUAUCACAGUCUAAUGACUCGUGGUAAAUGUAUAGGGACUUCAAUAUAAUGCGACAACACAAUAUAUAUGUUUUUAUCAAUAACACCUACGACUACGUACGUUGAUAUCCUCCUUUUUUAUUAACAAAAACAGCUUCCAGAACCAAAGACGCCCUACCUAGAUGCGCAACGGGAGAACCCAAUAGUAGGAACAAAACGGGUUUUACUGAUUCGAAGUCAAUGAGACAAAACUAAGGGAUUGAGGUCGUAAUAUACAUCAGCCUGAUUGGGUCAUCAUGAUUAUUGUGAAACCAAAGGGAUUCGAAGUUAAAUCAAAACAAAAGCGUAAUGAAGAAAAGGUAUACCCAACCUCACCCUCGAUACUAUAAGAGAAAAGUGCUAUACUAAUAGACUUUCUAAUGAUUCGUUUGUUAAUAAAAAUUAUGUGUAUCCUAUCCCUGUACUCAAAAUUGAAGGAGACCAACACUCCUCUAUUAUUUCUUCGACUCUCUAGCUGACAAACUCUUCGCCCAAGUCCUCUAGUUUCGGUUGUUGUUGGAUCCGAAACUUUUUCUACAAAUGUUACUUUUUGACUCCUUCAACACUACCUGACUUUCUAAACGAACUUCGUUUCCGUAGGUGGACCCUAUAUAUACCGAUCUUCGAUGUCGCUCGUUGACGAAGAAAAGUCGACGAUUACUCUAUAAAUACACAAGUAUCCCCUCACGUAGCCCCGUAGCCCGCCAGCAUACUCUUCUUCACGCAAGUCGACUCCUGGGUACUACGGUUGCCACAUCUCGGCAAGUGGUAGCUCUCCUAGUCCCGACGGUAAUCCUGGAAGCUCCGCUUCGAGUUGUAGAGGCGGCGGAAAGAGCUGCUUUAGAGGGUUUCCGAGUAACGGCGAACGCUAUUGAGUAUCGCGAGGAGAGGAACGGCACGCCAACUUCCCUCCGUAGUCUCCGUACGGCGGCGGCGGUCGCGACUUUGCACGUCGUUAAAGAUAACAACAUACAAUACAACGGUACGUUGUUCUACGAAAACAACUACCAUAAUAUAACAACACACAAUGGACACUACACUACUUUGUGACUACUCUAAAAUCCAAGAAUGAGUACACUACGUAGUUGUAUUAUUCAAAUACUUUUAAAUGUACAUACACGAUAGGUCUAAUUUUUUCUUCAACUUUCCCAACAAGGGAUGGA
RNAcentral lists this ribosomal RNA (5930 nucleotides) under Triticum aestivum (bread wheat). RNAcentral's name for it is "partial small subunit ribosomal RNA". The record is from RNAcentral. Lineage: Eukaryota; Viridiplantae; Streptophyta; Magnoliopsida; Poales; Poaceae.